Molecule: microRNA precursor, 92 nt
Filed under: Marmota monax (woodchuck)
Lineage: Eukaryota; Metazoa; Chordata; Mammalia; Rodentia; Sciuridae
Source: RNAcentral
AGUGGGAUAGCUGGGUCAAUUGGUAGUUCAAUUACAAGUUUUCUAAGGAAUUUCCAGAAAUGGUUUCACCAAUUUGCAUUCCCACCAGCAAU